RNAcentral lists this transfer RNA (73 nucleotides) under Stegodyphus mimosarum. It matches the Rfam family "tRNA". From Rfam's summary of the family: Transfer RNA (tRNA) molecules are approximately 80 nucleotides in length. Lineage: Eukaryota; Metazoa; Arthropoda; Arachnida; Araneae; Eresidae. The record is from Rfam by way of RNAcentral.
GUCUUCGUGGUGUAGUGGUCAGCACGCUCGACGCGUAACCGAGAGGUCCGUGGUUCGAUUCCUGGCGAAGGCG